RNAcentral lists this ribosomal RNA (1441 nucleotides) under uncultured Bacteroidota bacterium. RNAcentral's name for it is "bacterial SSU rRNA". It matches the Rfam family "Bacterial small subunit ribosomal RNA". Lineage: Bacteria; Pseudomonadati; Bacteroidota. The record is from RNAcentral.
GAUGAACGCUAGCGGCAGGCUUAACACAUGCAAGUCGAGGGGCAGCAUAGUCUUCGGACUGAUGGCGACCGGCGCACGGGUGCGUAACGCGUAUGCAACCUACCUUACACAGGGGGAUAAUCCGGAGAAAUCUGGUCUAAUACCCCAUAACACUAAGAGAGGCAUCUCUUUUGGUUGAAAUUUUCGGAGGUGUAAGAUGGGCAUGCGUACCAUUAGUUAGUUGGAGAGGUAACGGCUCACCAAGGCGACGAUGGUUAGGGGUUCUGAGAGGAAGAUCCCCCACACUGGUACUGAGACACGGACCAGACUCCUACGGGAGGCAGCAGUGAGGAAUAUUGGUCAAUGGGCGGAAGCCUGAACCAGCCAUGCCGCGUGCAGGAAGAAUGUUUUAUGAAUUGUAAACUGCUUUUAUGUGAGGAUAAAUGUUUAUUUGCGAAUAAAUUUGAAGGUAUCACAUGAAUAAGGAUCGGCUAACUCCGUGCCAGCAGCCGCGGUAAUACGGAGGAUUCGAGCGUUAUCCGGAUUUAUUGGGUUUAAAGGGUGCGUAGGCGGCUAAAUAAGUCAGUGGUGAAAUAUGAGGGCUUAACUUUCACAGUGCCAUUGAUACUGUUUAGCUUGAAUGUAAAUGGAGCAGGCGGAAUGAAUCAUGUAGAGGUGACAUUCAUAGAUAUGAUUCAGAACACCGAUCGCGAAGGCAGCUUGCUAAGAUACGAUUGACGCUGAUGCACGAAAGCGUGGGUAUCGAACAGGAUUAGAUACCCUGGUAGUCCACGCUGUAAACGAUGAUAACUCGAUGUUGGCGAUAUAUUGUCAGUAUCUAAGAGAAAUCGAUAAGUAUUCCACCUGGGGAGUACGCCGGCAACGGUGAAACUCAAAGGAAUUGACGGGGGCCCGCACAAGCGGAGGAACAUGUGGUUUAAUUCGAUGAUACGCGAGGAACCUUACCCGGGCUUGAAUUGCAGAGGAAUGUGGUGGAAACAUUACAGCCGUAAGGUCUCUGUGAAGGUGCUGCAUGGUUGUCGUCAGCUCGUGCCGUGAGGUGUCGGCUUAAGUGCCAUAACGAGCGCAACCCUCAUUGAUAGUUACCAUCGGGUAAUGCCGGGGACUCUAUCAAGACUGCCGUCGUAAGAUGUGAGGAAGGUGGGGAUGACGUCAAAUCAGCACGGCCCUUACGUCCGGGGCUACACACGUGUUACAAUGGCAGGUACAGCAGGUUGCUACACAGCGAUGUGAUGCUAAUCCGUAAAACCUGUCUCAGUUCGGAUCGAAGUCUGCAACCCGACUUCGUGAAGCUGGAUUCGCUAGUAAUCGCGCAUCAGCCACGGCGCGGUGAAUACGUUCCCGGGCCUUGUACACACCGCCCGUCAAGCCAUGAAAGCCGGGGGUACCUAAAGUACGUAACCGCAAGGAGCGUCCUAGGGUAAAACUAGUAACUGGGGCU